GAUGAAGAACGCAGCAAAAUGCGAUAAGUAAUGUGAAUUGCAGAAUUCAGUGAAUCAUCGAAUCUUUGAACGCACAUUGCGCCCGCCAGUAUUCUGGCGGGCAAGUCUGUUCGAGCGUCAUUUCAACCCUCAAGCACAGCUUGGUGUUGGGACUCGCGUUAAUUCGCGUUCCCCAAAUUGAUUGGCGGUCACGUCGAGCUUCCAUAGCGUAGUAGUAAAACCCUCGUUACUGGUAAUCGUCGCGGCCACGCCGUUAAACCCCAACUUCUGAAUGUUGACCUCGGAUCAGGUAGGAAUACCCGCUGAACUUAAGCAUAUCAAUAAGCGGAGGA
RNAcentral lists this unclassified non-coding RNA (332 nucleotides) under soil metagenome. Its description in RNAcentral is "partial contains 5.8S ribosomal RNA, internal transcribed spacer 2, and large subunit ribosomal RNA". The stretch from base 1 to 120 matches the Rfam family "5.8S ribosomal RNA", at positions 35 to 154 of the family's 154-position model. The record is from RNAcentral.